UACGGGGGGGGCAAGCGUUGUUCGGAAUUACUGGGCGUAAAGGGCUCGUAGGCGGCCAACUAAGUCGGACGUGAAAUCCCUCGGCUCAACCGGGGAACUGCGUCCGAUACUGGAUGGCUCGAGUCCGGGAGAGGGAUGCGGAAUUCCAGGUGUAGCGGUGAAAUGCGUAGAUAUCUGGAGGAACACCGGUGGCGAAGGCGGCGUUCUGGACUGCAACUGACACUGUAAACCGAAAGCCAGGGGAGCAAACGGG
RNAcentral lists this ribosomal RNA (253 nucleotides) under uncultured bacterium. Its description in RNAcentral is "partial 16S ribosomal RNA". It matches the Rfam family "Bacterial small subunit ribosomal RNA", at positions 524 to 776 of the family's 1533-position model. The record is from RNAcentral.